RNAcentral lists this ribosomal RNA (256 nucleotides) under uncultured bacterium. Its description in RNAcentral is "partial 16S ribosomal RNA". It matches the Rfam family "Bacterial small subunit ribosomal RNA", at positions 524 to 776 of the family's 1533-position model. The record is from RNAcentral.
UACGUAGGGGGCAAGCGUUUGUCCGGAAUCAUUGGGCGUAAAGAGCGUGUAGGCGGCCCGGUAAGUCCGCUGUGAAAGUCGAGGGCUCAACCCUCGAAUGCCGGCGGAUACUGUCGGGCUAGAGUCCGGAAGAGGCGAGUGGAAUUCCCUGGUGUAGCGGUGAAAUGCGCAGAUAUCAGGAGGAACACCUACGGCGAAGGCAGCUCGCUGGGACGGUACUGACGCUGAGACGCGGAAAGCGUGGGGAGCAAACAGG